AGAGUUUGAUCCUGGCUCAGAACGAACGCUGGCGGCAGGCCUAACACAUGCAAGUCGAGCGCUCUCCUUCGGGAGGGAGCGGCGGACGGGUUAGUAACGCGUGGGAAUAUACCCUUCACUACGGAAUAGCCAUUGGAAACGAUGAGUAAUACCGUAUACGCCCUUUUGGGGAAAGAUUUAUCGGUGAAGGAUUAGCCCGCGUUAGAUUAGAUAGUUGGUGGGGUAACGGCCUACCAAGUCGACGAUCUAUAGCUGGUUUGAGAGGAUGAUCAGCAACACUGGGACUGAGACACGGCCCAGACUCCUACGGGAGGCAGCAGUGGGGAAUCUUGGACAAUGGGCGCAAGCCUGAUCCAGCCAUGCCGCGUGAGUGAUGAAGGCCUUAGGGUCGUAAAGCUCUUUCACCAGGGAUGAUAAUGACAGUACCUGGAAAAGAAACCCCGGCUAACUCCGUGCCAGCAGCCGCGGUAAUACGGAGGGGGUUAGCGUUGUUCGGAAUUACUGGGCGUAAAGCGCACGUAGGCGGAUCAGAAAGUAUGGGGUGAAAUCCCAGGGCUCAACCCUGGAACUGCCUCAUAAACUCCUGGUCUUGAGUUCGAGAGAGGUGAGUGGAAUUCCGAGUGUAGAGGUGAAAUUCGUAGAUAUUCGGAGGAGCACCAGUGGCGAAGGCGGCUCACUGGCUCGAUACUGACGCUGAGGUGCGAAAGCGUGGGGAGCGAACAGGAUUAGAUACCCUGGUAGUCCACGCCGUAAACGAUGUCAACUAGCCGUUUGUGGACUUGAUCCGUGAGUGGCGCAGCUAACGCACUAAGUUGACCGCCUGGGGAGUACGGCCGCAAGGUUAAAACUCAAAUGAAUUGACGGGGGCCCGCACAAGCGGUGGAGCAUGUGGUUUAAUUCGAUGCAACGCGAAGAACCUUACCAUCCCUUGACAUCCAGAGAAGCGACUAGAGAUAGACGUGUGCCUUCGGGAACUCUGUGACAGGUGCUGCAUGGCUGUCGUCAGCUCGUGUUGUGAAAUGUUGGGUUAAGUCCCGCAACGAGCGCAACCCCUAUCCUUAUUUGCCAGCGCGUUAUGGCGGGAACUCUAAGGAGACUGCCGGUGAUAAACCGGAGGAAGGUGGGGACGACCUCAAGUCAUCAUGGCCCUUACGAGUAGGGCUACACACGUGCUACAAUGGCGCAUACAAAGGGUUGCGAAGCCGCGAGGUCGAGCCAAUCCCAAAAAGUGCGUCGUAGUCCGGAUUGGAGUCUGCAACUCGACUCCAUGAAGUCGGAAUCGCUAGUAAUCGUAGAUCAGAAUGCUACGGUGAAUACGUUCCCGGGCCUUGUACACACCGCCCGUCACACCAUGGGAGUGGGCUGCAAAAGAAGUGGCUAGUUUAACCUUUCGGGGAGGACGGUCACCACUUUGUGUUUCAUGACUGGGGUGAAGUCGUAACAAGGUAACC
Molecule: ribosomal RNA, 1451 nt
Filed under: uncultured bacterium
Lineage: Bacteria
Description: partial 16S ribosomal RNA
Rfam family: Bacterial small subunit ribosomal RNA
Source: RNAcentral